RNAcentral lists this ribosomal RNA (876 nucleotides) under uncultured bacterium. RNAcentral's name for it is "bacterial SSU rRNA". It matches the Rfam family "Bacterial small subunit ribosomal RNA", at positions 11 to 915 of the family's 1533-position model. The record is from RNAcentral.
GUUUGAUCCUGGCUCAGGAUGAACGCUAGCGAUAUGCUUAACACAUGCUAGUUGUACGAAAAAUAAAAUUUUAGUGGCAAACGGGUGAGUAAUACGUAAGAAUUUGCCUUUAGGAAGAGGAUAACUUUUAGAAAUAAUUGCUAAAACUCUAUAAUACAAAUAAGUUUUUAUUUGUUAAAAAAGAAAUUUACCUAAAGAGAAGCUUACGCUUGAUUAGCUAGUUGGUGGGGUAAAGGCCUACCAAGGCGAUGAUCAAUAGCUGGUCUGAGAGGACGAUCAGCCACACUGAAACUGAGACACGGUUCAGACUCCUACGGGAGGCAGCAGUGAGGAAUAUUCUGCAAUGGGCGAAAGCCUGACAGAGCAAUAUCGCGUGAAGGAUGAAGGCCUUUUUGGUUGUAAACUUCUUUUUUCAAGGAAGAAGAUCUGACGUUACUUGAAGAAUAAGCAUCGGCUAACUCUGUGCCAGCAGCCGCGGUAAGACAGAGGAUGCAAGUGUUAUCCGGAAUUAUUGGGCGUAAAGCGUUUGUAGGUGGAUAUCUAAGUCUUAUGUUAAAUAUCUAAAUUUAAUUUAGAAAAUGCAUAAGAAACUAUAUAUCUUGAGUAUUAUAGAGGUAAAGGGAAUUUUCAGUGUAGCGGUGAAAUGCGUAGAUAUUGAAAAGAACACCAAUGGCGAAAGCACUUUACUAGAUUAAUACUGACACUGAGAAACGAAAGCUAGGGGAGUAAAUAGGAUUAGAUACCCUAGUAGUCCUAGCUGUAAACGAUGGAUACUAGACGUUGUGAUAUUUUAUUAUAUUGCAGUGUCGUAGCUAACGCAUUAAGUAUCCCGCCUGGGUAGUAUGCUCGCAAGAGUGAAACUCAAAGGAAUAGACG